UACGGAGGGUGCAAGCGUUGUCCGGAAUCACUGGGCGUAAAGGGCGCGUAGGCGGCUCAUGAAGGCUGUGGUGAAAGUCCGGGGCUCAACCUCGGAUCGGCCGUGGCGACUCGUGGGCUGGAGCACUGUAGAGGCGGGUGGAAUUCCGGGUGUAGCGGUGGAAUGCGUAGAGAUCCGGAAGAACACCGGUGGCGAAGGCGGUCUGCUGGGCAGUUGCUGACACUGAGGCGCGACAGCGUGGGGAGCAAACAGG
RNAcentral lists this ribosomal RNA (253 nucleotides) under uncultured bacterium. Its description in RNAcentral is "partial 16S ribosomal RNA". It matches the Rfam family "Bacterial small subunit ribosomal RNA", at positions 524 to 776 of the family's 1533-position model. The record is from RNAcentral.